This 768-nucleotide ribosomal RNA is filed under the name uncultured bacterium. RNAcentral's name for it is "bacterial SSU rRNA". It matches the Rfam family "Bacterial small subunit ribosomal RNA", at positions 62 to 846 of the family's 1533-position model. The record is from RNAcentral.
UCGAGCGAAUGAGUUCCUUCGGGAACGGAUUUAGCGGCGGACGGGUGAGUAACACGUGGGCAACAUGCCUCAUAGAGGGGAAUAGCCUUCCGAAAGGGAGAUUAAUACCGCAUAAGAUUGUAGUACCGCAUGGUACAGCAAUUAAAGGAGCAAUCCGCUAUGAGAUGGGCCCGCGGCGCAUUAGCUAGUUGGUGAGGUAACGGCUCACCAAGGCGACGAUGCGUAGCCGACCUGAGAGGGUGAUCGGCCACAUUGGGACUGAGACACGGCCCAGACUCCUACGGGAGGCAGCAGUGGGGAAUAUUGCACAAUGGGGGAAACCCUGAUGCAGCAACGCCGCGUGAGUGAUGACGGCCUUCGGGUUGUAAAGCUCUGUCUUCAGGGACGAUAAUGACGGUACCUGAGGAGGAAGCCACGGCUAACUACGUGCCAGCAGCCGCGGUAAUACGUAGGUGGCGAGCGUUGUCCGGAUUUACUGGGCGUAAAGGGAGCGUAGGCGGAUUUUUAAGUGAGAUGUGAAAUACUCGGGCUUAACCUGAGUGCUGCAUUUCAAACUAGAAGUCUAGAGUGCAGGAGAGGAGAAGGGAAUUCCUAGUGUAGCGGUGAAAUGCGUAGAGAUUAGGAAGAACACCAGUGGCGAAGGCGCUUCUCUGGACUGUAACUGACGCUGAGGCUCGAAAGCGUGGGGAGCAGACAGGAUUAGAUACCCUGGUAGUCCAUGCCGUAAACGAUGAAUACUAGGUGUAGGGGUUGUCAUGACCUCUGUGC